This 361-nucleotide ribosomal RNA is filed under the name Diapherodes dominicae. RNAcentral's name for it is "partial 12S ribosomal RNA". The record is from RNAcentral. Lineage: Eukaryota; Metazoa; Arthropoda; Insecta; Phasmatodea; Phasmatidae.
AUAAAUGCGAAUUAAUUUGUUUGGUUAAAUUUCAGUUAUUUUAUUUUAAUGAUUUUAAUUAUUUUGUUUUUAGGUGAAAUUUAAAUUUUUACAUAAUUUUUUUUUAUAUCUGAUAAAAUCAUAAUUUAAAGUGGGAUUAGAUACCCUAUUAUUUUGUUUGUAAAAAAAUUUUGCUAGGGUAGUAUUAGUUAUGUUCUUUAAACCUAAAGGAUUUGGCGGUAUUUUAUUCUUAUCAGAGGAACUUGUCCUUUAAUCGAUAAUCCUCGUUUUAUCUUUCUUUAAUUAAUGUAUGUAUACCUCCGUUAAAAGUUUAUGUUUUUAGAUUAUUAAAUUUACUUUUUAUUUUAUUAUAUUAUAUUUC